This 253-nucleotide ribosomal RNA is filed under the name uncultured bacterium. RNAcentral's name for it is "partial 16S ribosomal RNA". It matches the Rfam family "Bacterial small subunit ribosomal RNA", at positions 524 to 776 of the family's 1533-position model. The record is from RNAcentral.
UACGAAGGGGGCUAGCGUUGCUCGGAAUCACUGGGCGUAAAGCGCACGUAGGCGGCUUUCUAAGUCAGGGGUGAAAUCCUGGAGCUCAACUCCAGAACUGCCUUUGAUACUGGAGAGCUAGAGUCCGGAAGAGGUGAGUGGAACUGCGAGUGUAGAGGUGAAAUUCGUAGAUAUUCGCAAGAACACCAGUGGCGAAGGCGACUCACUGGCCCGAUACUGACGCUGAGGCGCGAAAGCGUGGGGAGCAAACAGG